Thermoplasma acidophilum DSM 1728 is the source of this 85-nucleotide transfer RNA. It matches the Rfam family "tRNA". From Rfam's summary of the family: Transfer RNA (tRNA) molecules are approximately 80 nucleotides in length. Their secondary structure includes four short double-helical elements and three loops (D, anti-codon, and T loops). Lineage: Archaea; Methanobacteriati; Thermoplasmatota; Thermoplasmata; Thermoplasmatales; Thermoplasmataceae. The record is from Rfam.
GCAGAGGUUGCCGAGUCAGGUCAAAGGCGGCAGACUCAAGAUCUGCCUCCGUAGGGAUUCGCCGGUUCGAAUCCGGCCCUCUGCA